GGUUGAUCCUGCCAGUAGUCAUAUGCUUGUCUUAAAGAUUAAGCCAUGCAUGUCUAAGUAUAAGUAAUUAUACAGCGAAACUGCGGAUGGCUCAUUAAAUCAGUUAUAGUUUACUUGGUGGUUAAACAAUACUUGGAUAACUGUAGUAAUUCUAGAGCUAAUACGUGCACAAAGUCCCGACUCUUGCGGAAGGGGUGUAAUUAUUAGUUAACAAACCAGUGCGGGUCAAACCGCUACUUGGUGAAUCUAGGUAAUCCAAUGUUUAUUUUCUGAUCGUAUGGUCUAGCACCGA
This 292-nucleotide ribosomal RNA is filed under the name uncultured eukaryote. RNAcentral describes it as "partial 18S ribosomal RNA". It matches the Rfam family "Eukaryotic small subunit ribosomal RNA", at positions 6 to 287 of the family's 1831-position model. The record is from RNAcentral.